CCUACGGGAGGCAGCAGUGGGGAAUAUUGGACAAUGGGCGAAAGCCUGAUCCAGCAAUGCCGCGUGAGUGAUGAAGGCCUUAGGGUUGUAAAGCUCUUUUACCAGGGAUGAUAAUGACAGUACCUGGAGAAUAAGCUCCGGCUAACUCCGUGUCAGCAGCCGCGGUAAUACGGAGGGAGCUAGCGUUGUUCGGAAUUACUGGGCGUAAAGCGUACGUAGGCGGUUAUUCAAGUCAGAGGUGAAAGCCUGGAGCUCAACUCCAGAACUGCCUUUGAAACUAGAUAGCUAGAAUCUUGGAGAGGUGAGUGGAAUUCCGAGUGUAGAGGUGAAAUUCGUAGAUAUUCGGAAGAACACCAGUGGCGAAGGCGACUCACUGGACAAGUAUCGACGCUGAGGUACGAAAGCGUGGGGAGCAAACAGGAUUAGAUACCCUGGUAGUCCACGCCGUAAACGAUGAUAACUAGCUGUUCGGGCUCUACGAGCUUGAGUGGCGCAGCUACGACAUUAAGUUAGUCCGUCCGUCGGGAGGUACGGUCGCGAAGAAGUUAAAACUUAACUAAAUUAGAAGUUAGUUACGGCGUGAGACGUUGCCGAACGGACGACCGACCGAGGGGAGGUUAGG
This 622-nucleotide ribosomal RNA is filed under the name uncultured bacterium. Its description in RNAcentral is "bacterial SSU rRNA". The stretch from base 1 to 519 matches the Rfam family "Bacterial small subunit ribosomal RNA", at positions 338 to 873 of the family's 1533-position model. The record is from RNAcentral.